RNAcentral lists this long non-coding RNA (3232 nucleotides) under Panax ginseng (ginseng). RNAcentral describes it as "long non-coding RNA (PGIN_LNC005552)". The record is from RNAcentral. Lineage: Eukaryota; Viridiplantae; Streptophyta; Magnoliopsida; Apiales; Araliaceae.
UUCCACACUAGAAAAAACCCAUAAAUCAAAAAGCUUAACAAUUAUCAAUGCUACAGUGAGAAAAUUAAUUUUCAUUAUAUUCAUUAUACAGUGGGAAAUGUUUUUAAAAAAAAUGUAAAGGGAAAUCACAUAAUGAGAGAGCAAACUCAAGUUCAGAUCCCCAAUGGUUUUCUGUGGUACACAAACAUAAACAUACAAAUGGUGCUCACUGUGUCCAUAACUCCAGUCAAAGCAAACCCCAAAUCGAAUACACUAAUUACAAAUCAUCUAACAAUUUUUUUAAAAAAAAUUAAAAAGAAAAUUCAAGGAACAAAAACCCAGUUUCUCUCUCAUUAAAACAAAGCAGAAGAAACCACCAGUAAAUCUUUCAUCAUCGUCCAUUAGAGGCACAAGGCAGUUGCUUGUAAAUCCUCGGGAUUCCCAACAUCCAUAUCAUCAUCCAACGGCGGAGGCAGGUUUAGAUCGAAUGAAAAGGGUUUGUGGUACAAAGCCGCGUCACAAUCUUCCACCACAGAUGACGACGAGUCGCAAUCGCUAUGAAAUUCCUCUACCUGAAUCGGCUGUUUGAACCGGUGGUUGGUUUUAAUCCGCGGUGGUGCCGGCGGAUUCGACGCCUUGAGCCCGCAGGAGGAUUCCACGGUGCUGCUCAGGCUGCUCGAUGUCGGCCUGGAAAUGUUAAAGGGUUGACUAAAAUCUUUGGGGUCGGAGCCGUGAGGAAUAUCUUGAAAAGGGAGAGGUAAUAACGGAAAAUUGGUUUUCGCCUUGGGGCCGCGAAGUGAUCUAGCGGCGGCAUCGUAGGCGCGAGCGGCGUCCUCGGCCGUGUCAAAAGUACCCAGCCAGACCCGGUUUUUCUUCCACGGGCCGCGGAUCUCGGCGGCGAAUCGGCCCCACGGACGCUUACGGACGCCGCGAUAUCUUGGCUCGUUUGGCGGCGAUCCUUUGCCGAUCUCUUCCGCCGCAACUGCCGGUUUUGAUCUGUUGCGCCGCAUGACCUUGAACGAAUCGGCAGCGAUUUGAUUGAUAGAUCGGAGAUGAUAAAGUGGAGGAAUUUGAUGCGAUCUUCGUAAAUUACAGGCCACCAACCUCCUUGAUUUGAUCUAUCAGUCUUGUUCUCUCUCCAUUUCUAGUUUCUUGAACCCUCUUUUCUAUCUUCUUGGAUUUCUCUCUCCUCGUUUAUCCUUUAUUUUAUCUCUCCCAGCAAAAGGAGGAACCGACUUCAUUGUAUUUUCCUUCUCUUUAUUUUAUUUGGCGGAUAGGAAAUGAAACUUGUGAAUGUACCAAAAUACCUCUUUUAGUCUUAUCUUUCUUUGGUGGUAUGGCUUUUUUUUUAAUUAUUUUAAGUAUGGUUUGGCCUGGGGAGGAGUAGUGGUGCACAAAUAGCCUGUGACUUGUGACUUGGCCUUGGUUCGGCCUGAGCUCGGCCUGGUCAAAGCCAGGCCUGAAAAAGUCCGACCUGACCUACAAGACUAUAAACAGACCAUAAUUUUUUGACUAAUGCCCGGCUUGGCCUUUCAAAAAGCCUAGUUCGGCCUGGCCUUCAGACUUGUCUGGCCCGAAGCCUAAAACGGCCCAAGGCCUAACUUGGCCUAUAGAAAUUGGACCCCAACUAGAGUCUAUUUCAUUUUAACUAAUUUAAGCUGCCCAAGUCCAACAGGCUUGGCCUGGCAGCAGAUGGACUCAUACAACUAUUAAUUCACCGAAGGAUGAAUGUUUAUAUUAACUAAUAUAAGCUUUUCAAGUCCAACAGGCUUGGCCUGCCAGCAAAUGGACCCAUACAAGUAUUUUAAUUUAACUAAAGGAUGAAUGUUUAUUUAUAUUGUCAAAUGCCUAGCAAAAAUUUGGAGGAUAGGCGAUGUGAGACUUAACAAAGCUAUCUAUCAUUCAUCAAAAGACAAGCAUUAGUUUAGGAGUCAUUUUUCAUGUUAACAUCUUUUAAAGUGCACAUGCAUGAAUGGAGGAAGUGUUACAGUUAAAACUGUUGAACUACCCGGUAGUAAAGUACAGUAAUACGCGUGGUUGCAUACUAGCACACGGUAUUAGUUAUUGAUGCUUACGUGAGAAGUCACUCAGUUAUACUCAAUUAUUGCUACAGCAAUUGAUGCAUCAUAUCUCUCAUAUUAUUGAUUCAAUUAUUGUCACAGUAUCAUCUGCAUAAUAUGUUAUAUUAUUAAAUCAAUAAUUGAGACGAUAAAGUUAUUCAUAUUAUUAUUUUGCUAUAUUUACAAUGUCUAGAAGUUCUGUCAAGGAGAGGUUUGGUCAUCUAAUUGCGCGCCAAUAAGGAGAAAUCCUUAUCGGAAAGCCCCCUCUUUCCUGGGAACGACCUGGUUGUUAAAUAUUGUGAGUUAUAAUAUUAAUGANNNNNNNNNNNNNNNNNNNNNNNNNNNNNNNNNNNNNNNNNNNNNNNNNNNNNNNNNNNNNNNNNNNNNNNNNNNNNNNNNNNNNNNNNNNNNNNNNNNNCAAAGCCGUGUCACAAUCUUCCACCACAGAUGACGACGAGUCGCAAUCGCUAUGAAAUUCCUCUACCUGAAUCGGCUGUUUGAACCGGUGGUUGGUUUUAAUCCGCGGUGGUGCCCGCGGAUUCGACGCCUUGAGCCCGCAGGAGGAUUCCACGGUGCUGCUCAGGCUGCUCGAUGUCGGCCUGGAAAUGUUAAAGGGUUGACUAAAAUCUUUGGGGUCGCCGCCGUGAGGAAUAUCUUGAAAAGGGAGAGGUAAUAACGGAAAAUUGGUUUUCGCCUUGGGGCCGCGAAGUGAUCUAGCGGCGGCAUCGUAGGCGCGAGCGGCGUCCUCGGCCGUGUCAAAAGUACCCAGCCAGACCCGGUUUUUCUUCCACGGGCCGCGGAUCUCGGCGGCGAAUCGGCCCCACGGACGCUUACGGACGCCGCGAUAUCUUGGCUCGUUUGGCGGCGAUCCUUUGCCGAUCUCUUCCGUCGCAACUGCCGGUUUUGAUCUGUUGCGCCGCAUGACCUUGAACGAAUCGGCAGCGAUUUGACUGAUAGAUCGGAGAUGGUAAAGUGGAGGAAUUUGAUGCGAUCUUCGUAAAUUACAGGCCACCAACCUCCUUUGAUUUGAUCUAUCAGUCUUGUUCUCUCUCCAUUUCUAGUUUCUUGAACCCUCUUUUCUAUCUUAUUGGAUUUCUCUCUCCUCGUUUAUCCUUAAUUUUAUCUCUCCCAGCAAAAGGAGGAACCGGCUUCAUUGUAUUUUCCUUCUCUUUAUUUUAUUUGGCGGAUAGGAA